CCCUUAGAUGUCCUGGGCCGCACGCGCGCUACACUGAGUGUCUGAGAUACGAGUCUGCCUGGUCCGGCAAGGUCUAGGUAAUCGCUAAAAGACACAUCAUGCUUGGGAUAGAUUAUUGCAAAUAUUAAUCUUGAACGAGGAAUUCCUAGUAAGCGCAAGUCAACAGCUCGCGUUGAUUACGUCCCUGCCCUUUGUACACACCGCCCGUCGCUACUACCGAUUGGGAAAAUUUUAGAGAGUCCUGGACUGAUGAUUGUUCGGCUUCACGGCCUUACUUUCGUCGGGAAAGAAUUCGAUAACAUUUUUCUAGAGGAAGUAAAAGUCGUAACA
RNAcentral lists this ribosomal RNA (330 nucleotides) under uncultured eukaryote. RNAcentral describes it as "partial 18S ribosomal RNA". It matches the Rfam family "Eukaryotic small subunit ribosomal RNA", at positions 1470 to 1796 of the family's 1831-position model. The record is from RNAcentral.